RNAcentral lists this ribosomal RNA (442 nucleotides) under uncultured bacterium. RNAcentral's name for it is "partial 16S ribosomal RNA". It matches the Rfam family "Bacterial small subunit ribosomal RNA", at positions 338 to 795 of the family's 1533-position model. The record is from RNAcentral.
CCUACGGGAGGCAGCAGUGGGGAAUAUUGGGCAAUGGGCGCAAGCCUGACCCAGCAACGCCGCGUGAAGGAAGAAGGCUUUCGGGUUGUAAACUUCUUUUGUCAGGGAAGAGUAGAAGACGGUACCUGACGAAUAAGCCACGGCUAACUACGUGCCAGCAGCCGCGGUAAUACGUAGGUGGCAAGCGUUGUACGGAUUAACUGGGUGUAAAGGGCGUGUAGCCGGGUUGACAAGUCAGAUGUGAAAUCCUGCGGCUUAACCGCAGAACUGCAUUUGAAACUGUUGAUCUUGAGUACUGGAGAGGCAGACGGAAUUCCUAGUUUAGCGGUGAAAUGCGUAGAUAUUAGGAGGAACACCAGUGGCGAAGGCGGUCUGCUGGACAGCAACUGACGGUGAGGCGCGAAAGCGUGGGGAGCAAACAGGAUUAGAUACCCUAGUAGUC